CAGCCGCCGCGGUAAUACGUAGGUGGCAAGCGUUGUCCGGAAUUAUUGGGCGUAAAGCGCGCGCAGGUGGUUUAAUAAGUCUGAUGUGAAAGCCCACGGCUCAACCGUGGAGGGUCAUUGGAAACUGUUAAACUUGAGUGCAGGAGAGAAAAGUGGAAUUCCUAGUGUAGCGGUGAAAUGCGUAGAGAUUAGGAGGAACACCAGUGGCGAAGGCGGCUUUUUGGCCUGUAACUGACACUGAGGCGCGAAAGCGUGGGGAGCAAACAGGAUUAGAUACCCGCGUAGUCCCUGUCUCUUAUAC
This 301-nucleotide ribosomal RNA is filed under the name uncultured bacterium. RNAcentral's name for it is "partial 16S ribosomal RNA". It matches the Rfam family "Bacterial small subunit ribosomal RNA", at positions 509 to 807 of the family's 1533-position model. The record is from RNAcentral.